RNAcentral lists this unclassified non-coding RNA (23 nucleotides) under Mus musculus (house mouse). RNAcentral describes it as "oocyte_clustered_small_RNA4832". The record is from RNAcentral. Lineage: Eukaryota; Metazoa; Chordata; Mammalia; Rodentia; Muridae.
CCUUCGCCUAGGUCGUAUCACUC